This 511-nucleotide ribosomal RNA is filed under the name Daldinia loculata. RNAcentral's name for it is "eukaryotic LSU rRNA". It matches the Rfam family "Eukaryotic large subunit ribosomal RNA", at positions 77 to 597 of the family's 3401-position model. Lineage: Eukaryota; Fungi; Ascomycota; Sordariomycetes; Xylariales; Hypoxylaceae. The record is from RNAcentral.
GCCCUAGUAACGGCGAGUGAAGCGGCAACAGCUCAAAUUUGAAAUCUGGCCCUAGCGGUCCGAGUUGUAAUUUGUAGAGGAUGCUUUUGGUUAGGUGCCUUCUGAGUUCCCUGGAACGGGACGCCAGAGAGGGUGAGAGCCCCGUACGGUUGGACACCGAGCCUCUAUAUAGCUCCUUCGACGAGUCGAGUAGUUUGGGAAUGCUGCUCUAAAUGGGAGGUAAAUUUCUUCUAAAGCUAAAUACCGGCCAGAGACCGAUAGCGCACAAGUAGAGUGAUCGAAAGAUGAAAAGUACUUUGAAAAGAGGGUUAAAUAGCACGUGAAAUUGUUGAAAGGGAAGCGUUUGCGACCAGACUUUUUCCAGGCGGAUCAUCCGGUGUUCUCACCGGUGCACUUCGCCUGGUUUAGGCCAGCAUCGGUUCUCUUAGGGGGAUAAAGGCCUGGGGAACGUAGCUCCUUCGGGAGUGUUAUAGCCCCUAGCGUAAUACCCUUCGGGGGACCGAGGAACGCG